Molecule: ribosomal RNA, 521 nt
Filed under: uncultured archaeon
Lineage: Archaea
Description: bacterial SSU rRNA
Rfam family: Archaeal small subunit ribosomal RNA
Source: RNAcentral
UCGCGAAACCUUUGCAAUACACGCAAGUGUGACAGGGCCAUCCCGAGUGCCGACCGCUGAGGUUGGCUUUUAAUCAGUCUAGAAAGCUGGGAGAAUAAGGAGAGGGCAAGUCUGGUGUCAGCCGCCGCGGUAAUACCAGCUCUCCGAGUGGUGUGGACGUUUAUUGGGCCUAAAGCAUCCGUAGCUGGCUGAACAAGUCCCCUGUUAAACCCAACGAUUUAAUCGUUGGCUUGCGGGGGAAACUGCUCGGCUAGGAGACGGGAGAGGCAGACGGUAUUCUCGGGGUAGGGGUGAAAUCCUAUAAUCCCGAGAAGACCACCAGUGGCGAAGGCUGUCUGCUAGAACGCGCUCGACGGUGAGGGAUGAAAGCUGGGGGAGCGAACCGGAUUAGAUACCCGGGUAGUCCCAGCUGUAAACGAUGCAGGCUAGGUGUUUGGACGGCCACGUGCCGUUCUAGUGCCGCAGGGAAGCUGUUAAGCCUGCCGCCUGGGGAGUACGAUCGCAAGAUUGAAACUUAAAGG